This 128-nucleotide ribosomal RNA is filed under the name Carlito syrichta (Philippine tarsier). Lineage: Eukaryota; Metazoa; Chordata; Mammalia; Primates; Tarsiidae. The record is from RNAcentral.
GUCUAUGACCAUACCACCCUGAACACACCUGAUCUCAUCUGAUCUCAGAAGCUAAGCAAGGUCGGGCCUGAUACUUGGUACUUGGAUGGGAGGAAGCUUGGAAUGGGAGUGGGAAGAGGGUGUGGGGG